CUGGCGGCAUGCCUAACACAUGCAAGUCGAACGGAAACGAUGGAAGCUUGCUUCCAGGCGUCGAGUGGCGGACGGGUGAGUAAUACUUAGGAAUCUGCCCAUUAGUGGGGGACAACUCGGGGAAACUCGAGCUAAUACCGCAUACGCCCUACGGGGGAAAGCGGGGGAUCUUCGGACCUCGCGCUAAUGGAUGAGCCUAAGUCGGAUUAGCUUGUUGGUGAGGUAAAGGCUCACCAAGGCGACGAUCCGUAGCUGGUCUGAGAGGACGAUCAGCCACACUGGGACUGAGACACGGCCCAGACUCCUACGGGAGGCAGCAGUGGGGAAUAUUGGACAAUGGGGGAAACCCUGAUCCAGCAAUGCCGCGUGUGUGAAGAAGGCCUGCGGGUUGUAAAGCACUUUCAGUAGAGAAGAAAAGCCUAUGGUUAAUAACCGUGGGUCUUGACGUUACCUACAGAAGAAGCUCCGGCUAACUCCGUGCCAGCAGCCGCGGUAAUACGGAGGGAGCGAGCGUUAAUCGGAAUUACUGGGCGUAAAGCGCGCGUAGGCGGCUUUGUAAGUCGGAUGUGAAAGCCCUGGGCUCAACCUGGGAAUUGCAUUCGAAACUGCAUGGCUAGAGUAUGGUAGAGGGAAGUGGAAUU
Molecule: ribosomal RNA, 641 nt
Filed under: uncultured Gammaproteobacteria bacterium
Lineage: Bacteria; Pseudomonadati; Pseudomonadota; Gammaproteobacteria
Description: bacterial SSU rRNA
Rfam family: Bacterial small subunit ribosomal RNA
Source: RNAcentral